GUGCUCGCUUCGGCAGCACAUAUACUAAAAUUGGAAUGAUACGGAGAAGAUUAGCAUGGCCCCUGCACAAGGAUGAUACGCAAAUUCAUGAAGCAUUCCAUAUUUAA
Molecule: small nuclear RNA, 107 nt
Organism: Oryctolagus cuniculus (rabbit)
Lineage: Eukaryota; Metazoa; Chordata; Mammalia; Lagomorpha; Leporidae
Source: Ensembl